RNAcentral lists this ribosomal RNA (578 nucleotides) under uncultured bacterium. Its description in RNAcentral is "partial 16S ribosomal RNA". It matches the Rfam family "Bacterial small subunit ribosomal RNA", at positions 355 to 925 of the family's 1533-position model. The record is from RNAcentral.
UGGGGAAUUUUGGACAAUGGGCGCAAGCCUGAUCCAGCCAUGCCGCGUGCGGGAAGAAGGCCUUCGGGUUGUAAACCGCUUUUGUCAGGGAAGAAAUCUUCUGAGUUAAUACCUCGGGAGGAUGACGGUACCUGAAGAAUAAGCACCGGCUAACUACGUGCCAGCAGCCGCGGUAAUACGUAGGGUGCAAGCGUUAAUCGGAAUUACUGGGCGUAAAGCGUGCGCAGGCGGUUUUGUAAGACAGAGGUGAAAUCCCCGGGCUCAACCUGGGAACUGCCUUUGUGACUGCAAGGCUUGAGUGCGGCAGAGGGGGGAUGGAAUUCCGCGUGUAGCAGUGAAAUGCGUAGAUAUGCGGAGGAACACCGAUGGCGAAGGCAAUCCCCUGGGCCUGCACUGACGCUCAUGCACGAAAGCGUGGGGAGCAAACAGGAUUAGAUACCCUGGUAGUCCACGCCCUAAACGAUGUCAACUGGUUGUUGGGAAGGUUCCUUCUCAGUAACGUAGCUAACGCGUGAAGUUGACCGCCUGGGGAGUACGGCCGCAAGGUUGAAACUCAAAUGAAUUGACGGGGUCAUAGC